This 497-nucleotide ribosomal RNA is filed under the name uncultured bacterium. Its description in RNAcentral is "partial 16S ribosomal RNA". It matches the Rfam family "Bacterial small subunit ribosomal RNA", at positions 28 to 507 of the family's 1533-position model. The record is from RNAcentral.
GAUGAACGCUGGCGGCGUGCCUAAUACAUGCAAGUCGAGCGAACAGACGAGGAGCUUGCUCCUCUGACGUUAGCGGCGGACGGGUGAGUAACACGUGGAUAACCUACCUAUAAGACUGGGAUAACUUCGGGAAACCGGAGCUAAUACCGGAUAAUAUAUUGAACCGCAUGGUUCAAUAGUGAAAGACGGUUUUGCUGUCACUUAUAGAUGGAUCCGCGUCGCAUUAGCUAGUUGGUAAGGUAACGGCUUACCAAGGCAACGAUGCGUAGCCGACCUGAGAGGGUGAUCGGCCACACUGGAACUGAGACACGGUCCAGACUCCUACGGGAGGCAGCAGUAGGGAAUCUUCCGCAAUGGGCGAAAGCUUGACGGAGCAACGCCGCGUGAGUGAUGAAGGUCUUCGGAUCGUAAAACUCUGUUAUUAGGGAAGAACAAAUGUGUAAGUAACUAUGCACGUCUUGACGGUACCUAAUCAGAAAGCCACGGCUAACUACGUG